CCUACGGGGGGCUGCAGUCGAGAAUCUUUCUCAAUGGGGGCAACCCUGAAGGAGCGACGCCGCGUGGGGGAUGAAGGGCUUCGGCUCGUAAACCCCUGUCAUUUGUGAGCAGGUGUGAUUGUUUAAGAGAUGGUUACAUAGAUAGUAGCAAAAGAGGAAGGGACGGCUAACUCUGUGCCAGCAGCCGCGGUAAUACAGAGGUCCCAAGCGUUGUUCGGAAUCACUGGGCGUAAAGGGUGCGUAGGCGGUAGUGUAAGACUUAGGUGAAAUCUCCAUGCUUAACGUGGAGCUCGCCUGGGAGACUGCAUUACUUGAGGAUUGGAGGGGAGACUGGAAUUCUUGGAGUAGCAGUGAAAUGCGUAGAUAUCAAGAGGAAGACCAGUGGCGAAGGCGAGUCUCUGGACAAUACCUGACGCUGAGGCACGAAGGCCAGGGGAUCAAACGGGAUUAGAUACCCCUGUAGUC
RNAcentral lists this ribosomal RNA (465 nucleotides) under uncultured Verrucomicrobiota bacterium. RNAcentral describes it as "bacterial SSU rRNA". It matches the Rfam family "Bacterial small subunit ribosomal RNA", at positions 338 to 795 of the family's 1533-position model. Lineage: Bacteria; Pseudomonadati; Verrucomicrobiota. The record is from RNAcentral.